GCCGGGUGCGGUGGCACACACCUGUAAUGCCAGUGGCUCAGGAGGCUGAGGCAGGAGGAUCGCAAGUUCAAAGCUAGUCUCAGCAAAAGUGAGAUGUUAAGCAACUCAGUGAGACCCUGUCUCUA
RNAcentral lists this small RNA (125 nucleotides) under Marmota monax (woodchuck). Lineage: Eukaryota; Metazoa; Chordata; Mammalia; Rodentia; Sciuridae. The record is from RNAcentral.